Nannospalax galili (Upper Galilee mountains blind mole rat) is the source of this 131-nucleotide small nucleolar RNA. NCBI's taxonomy places the organism in Eukaryota, Metazoa, Chordata, Mammalia, Rodentia, Spalacidae. The record is from Ensembl.
CCCUCCUGCAAAGGCGUGUUUUUGGUUCUCUGUCCUUGGACACGUAAGAAUUGGAGGCAAAGAAAUGUGGAUUUGUUGAAGUCUGGGGCCAGCUUGCUCCAUGCAGGCUCAAGGUCAACCAUCCGACAUGG